RNAcentral lists this microRNA (21 nucleotides) under Gossypium raimondii (Peruvian cotton). RNAcentral describes it as "gra-miR8714". The record is from miRBase by way of RNAcentral. Lineage: Eukaryota; Viridiplantae; Streptophyta; Magnoliopsida; Malvales; Malvaceae.
AUGGACGAAAUGAAAGUAGAG